GGAAUGGCGCAGCUACACAUGCAGUCGAGCGGUAGCACAGAGAGCUUGCUCUCGGGUGACGAGCGGCGGACGGGUGAGUAAUGUCUGGGAAACUGCCUGAUGGAGGGGGAUAACUACUGGAAACGGUAGCUAAUACCGCAUAACGUCGCAAGACCAAAGUGGGGGACCUUCGGGCCUCAUGCCAUCAGAUGUGCCCAGAUGGGAUUAGCUGGUAGGUGGGGUAACGGCUCACCUAGGCGACGAUCCCUAGCUGGUCUGAGAGGAUGACCAGCCACACUGGAACUGAGACACGGUCCAGACUCCUACGGGAGGCAGCAGUGGGGAAUAUUGCACAAUGGGCGCAAGCCUGAUGCAGCCAUGCCGCGUGUGUGAAGAAGGCCUUCGGGUUGUAAAGCACUUUCAGCGGGGAGGAAGGCGGUGAGGUUAAUAACCUUGUCGAUUGACGUUACCCGCAGAAGAAGCACCGGCUAACUCCGUGCCAGCAGCCGCGGUAAUACGGAGGGUGCAAGCGUUAAUCGGAAUUACUGGGCGUAAAGCGCACGCAGGCGGUCUGUCAAGUCGGAUGUGAAAUCCCCGGGCUCAACCUGGGAACUGCAUUCGAAACUGGCAGGCUAGAGUCUUGUAGAGGGGGGUAGAAUUCCAGGUGUAGCGGUGAAAUGCGUAGAGAUCUGGAGGAAUACCGGUGGCGAAGGCGGCCCCCUGGACAAAGACUGACGCUCAGGUGCGAAAGCGUGGGGAGCAAACAGGAUUAGAUACCCUGGUAGUCCACGCUGUAAACGAUGUCGAUUUGGAGGUUGUGCCCUUGAGGCGUGGCUUCCGGAGCUAACGCGUUAAAUCGACCGCCUGGGGAGUACGGCCGCAAGGUUAAAACUCAAAUGAAUUGACGGGGGCCCGCACAAGCGGUGGAGCAUGUGGUUUAAUUCGAUGCAACGCGAAGAACCUUACCUGGUCUUGACAUCCACAGAACUUUCCAGAGAUGGAUUGGUGCCUUCGGGAACUGUGAGACAGGUGCUGCAUGGCUGUCGUCAGCUCGUGUUGUGAAAUGUUGGGUUAAGUCCCGCAACGAGCGCAACCCUUAUCCUUUGUUGCCAGCGGUUAGGCCGGGAACUCAAAGGAGACUGCCAGUGAUAAACUGGAGGAAGGUGGGGAUGACGUCAAGUCAUCAUGGCCCUUACGACCAGGGCUACACACGUGCUACAAUGGCAUAUACAAAGAGAAGCGACCUCGCGAGAGCAAGCGGACCUCAUAAAGUAUGUCGUAGUCCGGAUUGGAGUCUGCAACUCGACUCCAUGAAGUCGGAAUCGCUAGUAAUCGUAGAUCAGAAUGCUACGGUGAAUACGUUCCCGGGCCUUGUACACACCGCCCGUCACACCAUGGGAGUGGGUUGCAAAAGAAGUAGGUAGCUUAACCUUCGGGAGGGCGCUACCACGUGAUCGUGCCG
This 1441-nucleotide ribosomal RNA is filed under the name uncultured Klebsiella sp. RNAcentral describes it as "bacterial SSU rRNA". It matches the Rfam family "Bacterial small subunit ribosomal RNA". Lineage: Bacteria; Pseudomonadati; Pseudomonadota; Gammaproteobacteria; Enterobacterales; Enterobacteriaceae. The record is from RNAcentral.